Molecule: small nucleolar RNA, 107 nt
Organism: Gossypium arboreum
Lineage: Eukaryota; Viridiplantae; Streptophyta; Magnoliopsida; Malvales; Malvaceae
Rfam family: Plant small nucleolar RNA R71
About the family: R71 is a member of the C/D box family of snoRNAs containing the C (UGAUGA) and D (CUGA) box motifs. Multiple nearly identical copies of this snoRNA have been identified in Arabidopsis, and it is thought to function as a 2'-O-ribose methylation guide for 18S ribosomal RNA.
Source: Rfam
AACCCAUGGUGAGGGCACCUUCUCAAUAAGUCCUUAUACAUUACCCAUGCGUCAUAUAAAGUCUCUAAAUCCAUUUGCACAAAGGACGAGAUGUCGUUCCUCAACUU